UGACAAGUUUUCUGGUGUCCUUGCG
This 25-nucleotide non-coding RNA is filed under the name Mus musculus (house mouse). Lineage: Eukaryota; Metazoa; Chordata; Mammalia; Rodentia; Muridae. The record is from RNAcentral.